AUAAAAGAUGUAUUAUAGAAUUGUACACCUGAAACCUAUAUAAUUUUAUUAACCAAUGUCACCCCAAUAAAUCCAAUACUUAAUUAAUUAAUUAAAAAAUUAAAAGAACGUGAUUACUAUCUCAGAUUAAGUCUUAGUCUAAUGGAGAAAUGUACCAAUAAACAAAUAAAGGUAGCUCAUCUGGUUAUGCCUAGUAGAAUUAUCCAUUAUUAAAUAAAUGGGCAUUUAAUACUUCACAUUAGAGCACUGCUUCACUGUAUUGCCCAUGUGAGAGAAACUUCUGCACUUUAAAUAGUUCAGGUGAGUUUGAUUUUGGGAUUCAUAUCGGAAAUCACUUUUUUCUGUUGAUCGGUAUGUUAUGUCAUUUACAAUCAACCAUCACAUAGGUCUCUUGUUUGUUGUGCCUGAGAAGCAGUUGUCUCUCUGAUGCACUCCCCACAACAUGCCAUGUGAAUUUUGGAUAAGCCACAUAGACAGUAUUUUAAAUCAGCUGGGCUCAGCCGUAACUUCCAAUUGGAGAAAACGUGAUCCAACCCUUUAUUGUGAUGUAUCUAAAAAAGUAGUGAACAGAAAUUUUAUUUUAUAAGCCAAUAUUACUCUAGCCUAAGCUGUUUUCCCUUUCUGGUUCUCUAAGUUGGCUUGCUUCAUGACUUUUCUGAGAAAGGAGAAGGUGACCUAAUGCUUUUACUUGAAAAGAGGGGACCAUUACAACUGUCCAGGAAACAUUCCAUGAUAACACCCACGUCUCACCUCCCCACCAGUAAAGUUCUUGAAUGCAGGAUUAGAUUUCCCUCGUGAUUUAUGUCUUGCUCUUAGAGUGUCUGACACAUCAUAAGUGCUUAAAUAACAUUUGAUGCAUGAAAUGAAGAGUGUUCUUUUUAUGUCUGCUGUGUUGGAAAUUACAGUUCAGAAUGGGAAUCAAUAAAAUGUUAUUCUUAAGCUGAGGAAGUGGUAUUGCUAAAAGGAAAUCAAAGCAUGUUUUUUCACCCAUAAUUGAGAGCCACAGGUAGUUCCUUUAUAUUCUCAGCAAUUAAUCAUUAUGAAGUUUACAUAUGAACAGUUUGUAAAAAGUUUAUAUAUUUCUGAUAUACGGUUAAACCCUUAUAUCCAUUUAAUGACAUUACUUUCUUCAGUUUUAAAGCGUUAUAAAUAUACCCAUAUGUGUCAUUUAGCAGAAUUGUAUCCUUAGUCCUCAUACACUAAUAAAUGUAAACCACCAUUGUUGAUUCAAGGAACAUACAUUUUUAAUGAAUUGUUAUUAAUGUUAUUAACUGUUAUUUUAGUGAAUGGGUAUUCAUACCUUCUUUUAAGUUACUUAAACAUUGGAACUGGAAGAAUUGUUGAAUACAAGCAAGUGGUUUUUUAAAUCAGUAUUUCAGGAUAGAUGCAAAGAUAAAUAAAACUUGAUUCUUACCCUCAAAGUGUUUAUGACCAAGUAGGACAAAUAAAUGUGUAAAUGAGUACAGUAUAAGCACAAUAAAGUAGCUUCCAAACCGCAGGUGCAUGCAGCGAGACAAUCACAGGGAGAACUGAUCCGCGCUCGUAAUGAGCAGGGAGGGAGGCGUGGGUAGGCGUUCAACACCAGUUGCUGUUGUAAUGAGAGAGCCAGUUCUUCAACACCGAGACUUCCUUUGUCCUGGUUCGCUCAGUUUUUAAAUACUAAGGCCGAUUUUUAAAUUUUGUGAUUUUGAAAUCUUGUCUAUUGGCUGAAAAUGGAUUUGGAGAAGAAUUUUCUAAGUGAGGAGUGUAACCUGAUGGUUAAGAAUAUGGUUUGAAUCCCAGCUCUGCCACUCACUAACUGUAUAACCUUGGGCAGUUCACUUAACCAGUCUGUGCUUCAGUUUACCAGUCUGUAAAAUGGAAUAAUAAUAAUACCAUGGAGCGUUAUUUGUCUUUAUUUCUUAUUAGAGUAUGCUUUGUCGUGGGUAGACACUUUGUAGCAGAAUAAAUGGAUGGAGACUCUAAGAAGAACAAGACAUCGUGUGUGUGUGUAGGAGAGAGAGAGAAUAGGAAUGUGUGUGUACUAAAAAUCCAGUUGUAGCUCAGUGAAAUCAGAACUAUAGCAAAAACAAGAGUAGGGGAGAUGUAUUUUAGAGGAAACUUUAAUCUGGAAAUUUUGUAUUAUGUCCCAGAUUUCAGGAAGAGAACAAAUGCUUCUUUGCUACUGAAGAUUUUUUUAGAGAACAUUGACUUUUAGGUUUGAAGCAGUUCUGGAAUUCUGAGGAUUCUAAAAGCCUGAAUGCCAAUUAUCUAAGUAUCUUCUCUGCUUUUAAAAACAUUUUCUCUGACUCUUUAAAGGUGAUUAGGGCAAAAUUAAUGGGAGCCCUGUCCCCUUCUAUUUAAUGUCUCAUUAUUCUUUGUGUGAUUUUAACUAGUUCUCUGUGUUUCUGUGUUAGUAAUUCAAAUCAUUUAGUCUGGUGGAGAAAACUGGGCACAUUCCAAAUUCUUUUUUUGUAUCCAAUUAUAUUGUACUCAGUAAAUUCUGCAACUGAUGUCAUACUGAAAGGAUGUUAAAAUGUUAAUGUAAAUUUUUUUAAAUGUUAAAAAUUUAAAAAAUGUUAAUACAAUUUUAUAUGCUAAAAAUGUUAUAUAUGUUCCCUUUUGUAGAUAUCCAAACAUAUAUCAAAGUCAACAAUAUGACAGCUAACACCCAUAUGUCCACUUGUAUUCUACUGUAACCAUUUCAUGCACUUUAUUACAUAUCUCUUCUUUAUUGAUUAUCUAUCAUUCAUUAAUCUAUUUUAUUUUGGGUGCAUUUCAAAAUAAAUUGCAGCUACCAGGACGCUUUCCUCUAAAUACCUCAAGUAUACUUCGUUUUUGAAAAGUUUUUCCCUCUCCAUUUAUGUGCGUUAUUUUAAUUUUGGACUAAACCCACUAUGGUUAAUUCUGCUACUAAGCCUUCUCAUUGUUAAUUAGGUCUGCAUUUCUUUGUGUUUGUGUUUUUUUAAAGGUACUUAAUAGUCCUUUCAGCCAAUUUUUAAAAGUACUCUAUGGCUUAUGUAAUUGUAGCAUUUUUUCUCCCUACAGUUUUCAUGACUUCAGAAUAUCACUGCUGAUGUGAGUUUUAAAGACAAAUCCUAUACCAUUAGACAUUUAAGUACUGCUUACUUUUAAACUAUGUAGAAGGCUUCAACUAGGUUUGAGCUAUUUGUAACCAGGAAUUAUAUACAUAUCCCAUAAUUCCUCAUGGCUCAUAAAUUCUUAAAGAACUCAAAUACUUGUUGAUAUACAGAUUUUUUGAUACCAAUGAUCAAAUAUUUUGGGCACUGUUUAUUGUUAUAAAGUUGAAAGCUUAAAAACAGAUCCCAACUUAAAUUUUUCAUCAGAUUUCAAGAAUUUAUAUUCAUUAUAUAAUGUAUAUUAUAAUGGUAUUCAAAAAAUCAUAAUAGGAAAUUAUGUGAGAGGCAUAUAAUAGUGAGGCAUUGUUCUUAGAAUUACAGGAUAUCCUUCUGUUUUAUAGGCUUUGCAUUGCCAGCUCAUGAAAGAAUAUGAUGACCUACUCUGCAUAUAACUUUUUAUAAAAAUAGUUCUAUUAUUUUAAAAUAACUGAACCAUGGACGUUGAAUUAGAUAACCAUUAUAGAUUUAACAUGUUACUUUAAGAUUGGAUUCCAAGUAGCAAAUAAAAUCCAAACACAUCAAACUAAAAUGAUCUUUUUUACUGUUUUCGUGGUUUCUUCUUCUGUAUAAAAUCUAUGUAGGACAAUGGUUUUUGAAAGUGUUGAAAGUGCAGUCAGAUAAGAACUGGAGUUGGAGGAGACUGAUCCUUUUUCUCUCUGCUCCAUUACGUUUGGAACUCUUGUUACACGUCUGGCUUGAAGGUUCUUUUGGGUCUACCAGAUUUAGUACUUCUUCCCCUAUCUGUAUCAGAUUUUAAUUAUUUAAAAUCAAAAAUAGGCAUGCAAAUUAGAGCUCUGGAUGCCAAGAGACAGAGACCAUGUGAGGACAUUUACAUGCCUCUCAUUCCUUGUCCAUGAAAAUGCCUGAAUAAUGUCUGAACUUUAGUUCUAGCCCUCUGUCUGCAGGUAGAAAUGUUUCGUUAUCUUAAGAGUACUGACCUCCAGUGACGUCUCUGUUUUUUGAAUGAUUGGGCAAGGAAUGUAGAGAGGCCUUCCCCACGUAAUGUUCAGCCAUUUAGAGCAAAGGUUGACCAUCAUUUUUUGCAAAGGACCAAAUAAAUACUUUAGGCACAGAGGACCAUAUGGUCUCUGCCACAGUUGUCCAGCUUUGCUGUUGCAGAAGGGAAGUAGCCAUAGCCAGCUGGUGGACAACUAGAUGUGACUUUGUCCCAGCCAGACUUCAUGUGGAGGAACAAACAGUGGGAUGCACCUUCCCAGCCUGUGCGCUGGAGUUGUGUGUGUUGAAAUACCUGCUGCAAGGACUUUUUUUUUCCCUAAUAACUUGUGGAUGGACACUUUCGUAAAAUAUAAUAAGAAUGAAUUACUGGAACAGGGAAAUUUAAAAAAUAAAAUACAAGGUUAAAAUUUUAGAUUGGCUAAACAAGUUACAUUUUAAUAAAAACAAUUAAAACAAUCAUACAUAAGGAAAAAGAAAAGAAUUAGAAAAAUUAAGUGUUUUAAUUUGAAGUUCUUUUCUAACCUGUUAAUAUAGAGAGUUGCUAUUACUUCAUAACUUUUUUUUGUCAUUCCACAGUAUGAGCUACACAUGAAGUUGAGUGAAAUUGCAAUUCUCACUAGUAAAUGCCUGUAUGUGCACUCGAAGCAAACACUGUAUAUAUCAGUAAAAAAUAUAAUGUGACAAAUGAAGUUGCUUCUUACUGUUAAUUUAUCUGAUCUAGGUUGGAUUAACAACAGUGCUACUGACAAUAGAUAAUGUAUAUCUAAAUUAUUCCUACAUUUUAACCACAUUCAGAGUAGAGAAACCAGACUCACAGGGGUAUGUUGGUAAGAAUUGGAGAAGAGAUUUCAGAGGAAUUUCAGCAAACUCAGGUAUUCAUUUUUAACUUUUUCCCAGCUGAAGCAAGUGAUUGUUUAUUUUCACUCUUUCAUUAGCAGUGAGUUCUAACAAUUUAUCCUGUCGAGCUAUAAUGAAAUUUAAGUUACCUUUCAAUUAAAGAAAUGGGCUCUGGAUUUGUAAGUUUCCAGUAUGUGGAUCUUCUUUUGAUGGGAAAAGAGAGAAAAUAUUCUAUAAAAUUUGUAAGGCACGUAGUGAUAAUUUUUCACUAAUGUACAAUAUCUAAUCAUACCAACUUCAUUAGAAAUUAUUGCUAAAUUAUGGAACAGUUUCAUGAGUUUCUGUAA
Molecule: long non-coding RNA, 5260 nt
Organism: Phyllostomus discolor (pale spear-nosed bat)
Lineage: Eukaryota; Metazoa; Chordata; Mammalia; Chiroptera; Phyllostomidae
Exons: 5
Source: RefSeq, a predicted model, not a curated record